UAUGUGAUCGUCUCUCGCAUAUCAAUAAGCGGAGGAAAAGAAACUAACAAGGAUUCCCUUAGUAACGGCGAGUGAAGCGGGAAGAGCUCAAAUUUGAAAUCUUCAAGGUUUUACCUUGACGAAUUGUAGUUUAAAGAAGUGUUUUCUGUUGAAGUUUUGGUAAAAGUUCUUUGGAAUAGGACAUCAUAGAGGGUGAGAAUCCCGUAUUUGACCAUUAUUUUCAGCUGUGUGAUACACUUUCAAAGAGUCGGAUUGUUUGGGAAUGCAGUCCAAAAUGGGUGGUAAAUUUCAUCUAAAGCUAAAUAUUGGCGAGAGACCGAUAGCGAACAAGUACCGUGAGGGAAAGAUGAAAAGAACUUUGAAAAGAUGAGUUAAACAGUACGUGAAAUUGUCAAAAGGGAAGCGUUUGACACCAGUGUUGUUUUCUCGAAAAUCAAUUAAAAAGAGUUAGAUUUUGUUGUGUAUUGACCUUAACAGCUUGCAUUUCAAUUUUCUUGCUUUUUUUAAUGCACUUUUCGUUUAACAAGUCAACAUCAGUUUCUUUUGUUGUAAAAAGGUCAUUGGAAGGUGGCUUUCUUUUCGGAGAAAGUGUUUAUAGCCUUUGACUCCUGCAAUCGGAGAGACUGAGGUCUGCAGCGUAGAUCCUUCGGGGUUAGAUACAUUUGUGCUAAGUUAUAGCUUUUUAUAGACAACUUGUUGACUAGGAUUAGUCUUGUAGCUUACUCGCUUAUGCUAUUUUACCUACGCUUAGGAUGUUGAAGAUGUAGCACAUCAU
This 775-nucleotide ribosomal RNA is filed under the name uncultured Neocallimastigales. RNAcentral's name for it is "partial large subunit ribosomal RNA". It matches the Rfam family "Eukaryotic large subunit ribosomal RNA", at positions 24 to 620 of the family's 3401-position model. Lineage: Eukaryota; Fungi; Neocallimastigomycota; Neocallimastigomycetes; Neocallimastigales. The record is from RNAcentral.